Molecule: ribosomal RNA, 254 nt
Filed under: uncultured bacterium
Lineage: Bacteria
Description: partial 16S ribosomal RNA
Rfam family: Bacterial small subunit ribosomal RNA
Source: RNAcentral
CACGUAGGGUGCAAGCGUUGUCCGGAUUCAUUGGGCGUAAAGGGCUAGUAGGCGGCUUAGCAAGUCGGGUGUGAAAACUUCAGGCUCAACCUGGAGCUGCCAUCCGAUACUGCUAUGGCUAGAGUCCGGUAGGGGACCACGGAAUUCCUGGUGUAGCGGUGAAAUGCGCAGAUAUCGGGAAGAACACCCGUGGCGAAGGCGGUUCUCUGGGACGGUACUGACGCUGAGACGCGAAAGCGUGGGGAGCGAACAGG